UACGUAGGUGGCAAGCGUUGUCCGGAUUUAUUGGGCGUAAAGCGAGCGCAGGCGGUUUCUUAAGUCUGAUGUGAAAGCCCACGGCUUAACCGUGGAGGGUCAUUGGAAACUGGGAAACUUGAGUGCAGAAGAGGAGAGUGGAAUUCCAUGUGUAGCGGUGAAAUGCGUAGAUAUAUGGAGGAACACCAGUGGCGAAGGCGACUCUCUGGUCUGUAACUGACGCUGAGGCUCGAAAGCGUGGGUAGCAAACAGGAUUAGAUACCCCUG
Molecule: ribosomal RNA, 267 nt
Filed under: uncultured bacterium
Lineage: Bacteria
Description: partial 16S ribosomal RNA
Rfam family: Bacterial small subunit ribosomal RNA
Source: RNAcentral